RNAcentral lists this ribosomal RNA (508 nucleotides) under uncultured bacterium. RNAcentral's name for it is "bacterial SSU rRNA". It matches the Rfam family "Bacterial small subunit ribosomal RNA", at positions 33 to 507 of the family's 1533-position model. The record is from RNAcentral.
ACACGCUGGCGGCGUGCUUAACACAUGCAAGUCGAACGGAGAUUAUUAAUGAAGCUUGCGAUUUAAUAAUCUUAGUGGCGGACGGGUGAGUAACGCGUGGGCAACCUACCCAUAAGCGGGGGAUAACAGUUGGAAACGACUGCUAAUACCGCAUAAGCUAUAGAGGUCGCAUGACCUAAAUAGUAAAGGUGGCAUUUAAAGAUGCUAUCACUUAUGGAUGGGCCCGCGUCUGAUUAGCUAGUUGGUGGGGUAGUGGCCUACCAAGGCAACGAUCAGUAGCCGGCCUGAGAGGGUGGACGGCCACACUGGGACUGAGACACGGCCCAGACUCCUACGGGAGGCAGCAGUGGGGAAUAUUGCGCAAUGGGGGAAACCCUGACGCAGCGACGCCGCGUGAGCGAAGAAGGCCUUAGGGUCGUAAAGCUCUGUUGUAAGGGACGAAUGUUUAUCUGACGAACAGUCAGAUAAAGUGACGGUACCUUACCAGCAAGCCCCGGCUAACUACGUG